CGCUCAGUUCAGAAAUCUGUACAAGUCCUCCAGUACAUGUACAAUGCCAACAGCAGGACUGCAGAGUCUCAAAGGCUGCCAGACAGCGACUUUUAUUUGCUCCUGAACCCAUUCUUUCUUGGUGCGGAUCUGCGUCAAUGGAUUUUACAGACGAAACACGAGAUGGGUGCUGAGCCUCUCUUAUCCUCGGUAGAUUUCCAAUUGUGAUGGAUCUGCAAUCAAAAGAAAAUGAUUCUUGACGCGUAUGCUGAAAUCACCAAGGAGGGAUCAUUCAGUCAGAUCGGGUGGAAUUUCUUCUGCAAUUAUGGACCAGAUUAUCUGCUUGCUGAAGAUGCGCUUUUAAGACUGAAGCUGAGACGAGCAUCCAUUUCAGAAGACACUUUUGAACAACUGGAUGCCGUUCAUCACAAGGACUAUAAAAAAAGACUUGAGGUCUUUUUUGAUGAGAACUUUGAAGCGAAGCAUUGUCAACAUCAAAGACUUUUUCAUGAAGUCUUUCACCAG
Hippoglossus stenolepis (Pacific halibut) is the source of this 504-nucleotide long non-coding RNA. RefSeq lists it as uncharacterized. The record is from RefSeq and is a predicted model, not a curated record. The transcript has 5 exons. NCBI's taxonomy places the organism in Eukaryota, Metazoa, Chordata, Actinopteri, Pleuronectiformes, Pleuronectidae.